Molecule: ribosomal RNA, 2323 nt
Filed under: human metagenome
Description: bacterial LSU rRNA
Rfam family: Bacterial large subunit ribosomal RNA
Source: RNAcentral
UUAAGUUAAUAAGGGCGCACGGUGGAUGCCUUGGCACUAGAAGCCGAUGAAGGACGUGACUAACGACGAAAUGCUUUGGGGAGCUGUAAGUGAGCAAUGAUCCAGAGAUGUCCGAAUGGGGGAACCCGGCAGGUAAUGCCUGUCACUCAUUACUGUUAAGGUAAUGUAGAGGAAGACGCAGUGAACUGAAACAUCUAAGUAGCUGCAGGAAGAGAAAGCAAAAGCGAUUGCCUUAGUAGCGGCGAGCGAAACGGCAGGAGGGCAAACCGAAGAGUUUACUCUUCGGGGUUGUAGGACUGCAAUGUGGACUCAAAGAUUAUAGAAGAAUGAUAUGGGAAGAUCAGCCAAAGAGAGUGAGAGCCUCGUAUUUUAAAUAGUCUUUGUACCUAGCAGUAUCCUGAGUACGGCGGGACACGAGAAAUCCCGUCGGAAUCUGGGAGGACCAUCUCCCAACCCUAAAUACUCCCUAGUGACCGAUAGUGAACCAGUACCGUGAGGGAAAGGUGAAAAGCACCCCGGGAGGGGAGUGAAAUAGAACCUGAAACCGUGUGCCUACAACAAGUUCGAGCCCGUUAAUGGGUGAGAGCGUGCCUUUUGUAGAAUGAACCGGCGAGUUACGAUAUGAUGCGAGGUUAAGUUGAAGAGACGGAGCCGUAGGGAAACCGAGUCUGAAUAGGGCGCAUUAGUAUUAUGUCGUAGACCCGAAACCAUGUGACCUACCCAUGAGCAGGUUGAAGGUGCGGUAAAACGCACUGGAGGACCGAACCAGGGCACGUUGAAAAGUGCUUGGAUGACUUGUGGGUAGCGGAGAAAUUCCAAACGAACUUGGAGAUAGCUGGUUCUCUCCGAAAUAGCUUUAGGGCUAGCGUCGAUGUUAAGUCUCUUGGAGGUAGAGCACUGUUUGGGUGAGGGGUCCAUCCCGGAUUACCAAUCUCAGAUAAACUCCGAAUGCCAACGAGAUAUAAUCGGCAGUCAGACUGCGAGUGCUAAGAUCCGUAGUCGAAAGGGAAACAGCCCAGACCACCAGCUAAGGUCCCAAAAUAUAUGUUAAGUGGAAAAGGAUGUGGGGUUGCACAGACAACUAGGAUGUUAGCUUAGAAGCAGCUAUUCAUUCAAAGAGUGCGUAAUAGCUCACUAGUCGAGUGACCCUGCGCCGAAAAUGUACCGGGGCUAAAACAAUUUACCGAAGCUGUGGAUACCUUUAUAGGUAUGGUAGGAGAGCGUUCUAUGUGUGAAGAAGGUAUACCGUGAGGAGUGCUGGAACGCAUAGAAGUGAGAAUGCCGGUAUGAGUAGCGAAAGACAGGUGAGAAUCCUGUCCACCGUAAGACUAAGGUUUCCAGGGGAAGGCUCGUCCGCCCUGGGUUAGUCGGGACCUAAGGAGAGACCGAAAGGUGUAUCCGAUGGACAACAGGUUGAUAUUCCUGUACUAGAGUAUGUAGUGAUGGAGGGACGCAGUAGGCUAACUAAAGCGUGCGAUUGGAAGUGCACGUCUAAGCAGUGAGGUGUGAAUUGAGUUAAAUGCUUAGUUCUAUAACAUUGAGCUGUGAUGGGGAGCGAAGUUUAGUAGCGAAGUUAGUGAUGUCACACUGCCGAGAAAAGCUUCUAGCGUUAAUUAUACUCUACCCGUACCGCAAACCGACACAGGUAGUCGAGGCGAGUAGCCUCAGGUGAGCGAGAGAACUCUCGUUAAGGAACUCGGCAAAAUGACCCCGUAACUUCGGGAGAAGGGGUGCUGGCUUUCAGUCAGCCGCAGUGAAUAGGCCCAAGCAACUGUUUAUCAAAAACACAGCUCUCUGCUAAAUCGUAAGAUGAUGUAUAGGGGGUGACGCCUGCCCGGUGCUGGAAGGUUAAGAGGAGUGCUUAGCGCAAGCGAAGGUAUGAAUUGAAGCCCCAGUAAACGGCGGCCGUAACUAUAACGGUCCUAAGGUAGCGAAAUUCCUUGUCGGGUAAGUUCCGACCCGCACGAAAGGCGUAAUGAUUUGGGCACUGUCUCAACGAGAGACUCGGUGAAAUUUUAGUACCUGUGAAGAUGCAGGUUACCCGCGACAGGACGGAAAGACCCCAUGGAGCUUUACUGCAGUUUGAUAUUGAGUAUCUGUACCACAUGUACAGGAUAGGUAGGAGCCUAUGACCUCGGGACGCCAGUUUCGAGUGAGGCGUUGUUGGGAUACUACCCUUGUGUUAUGGCUACUCUAACCCAGAUAGGUUAUCCCUAUCGGAGACAGUGUCUGACGGGCAGUUUGACUGGGGCGGUCGCCUCCUAAAAGGUAACGGAGGCGCCCAAAGGUUCCCUCAGAAUGGUUGGAAAUCAUUCGUAGAGUG